This 549-nucleotide ribosomal RNA is filed under the name uncultured bacterium. Its description in RNAcentral is "partial 16S ribosomal RNA". It matches the Rfam family "Bacterial small subunit ribosomal RNA", at positions 355 to 920 of the family's 1533-position model. The record is from RNAcentral.
UGGGGAAUAUUGCACAAUGGGCGAAAGCCUGAUGCAGCAACGCCGCGUGAGUGAUGAAGGCCUUCGGGUUGUAAAGCUCUGUCUUUUGGGACGAUAAUGACGGUACCAAAGGAGGAAGCCACGGCUAACUACGUGCCAGCAGCCGCGGUAAUACGUAGGUGGCAAGCGUUGUCCGGAUUUACUGGGCAUAAAGGAUGCGUAGGCGGAUUUUUAAGUGAGAUGUGAAAUACCCGGGCUUAACUUGGGUGCUGCAUUUCAAACUGGGAAUCUAGAGUGCGGGAGAGGAGAAUGGAAUUCCUAGUGUAGCGGUGAAAUGCGUAGAGAUUAGGAAGAACACCAGUGGCGAAGGCGAUUCUCUGGACCGUAACUGACGCUGAGGCAUGAAAGCGUGGGUAGCAAACAGGAUUAGAUACCCUGGUAGUCCACGCCGUAAACGAUGAGUACUAGGUGUAGGAGGUAUCGACCCCUUCUGUGCCGCAGUUAACACAAUAAAUACUCCGCCUGGGAAGUACGAUCGCAAGAUUAAAACUCAAAUGAAUUGACGGGGUC